CCAGCUCCACUCAUGCGGUUGUGAUCUACGUUCGCAUCGGAGGCGCACCUGUGGCUCUCCUGCCACUCUUCUGCAAAGGAUGCUGGGAACAGUACUAGCACUGGCGUCAUACGGUCAAAGAUGGCCUGGGAGUUGGUAUAUCGUGUAUGGCUCAGGAAUGUUCCCUGCAGAUGCCAGAAGACUUCGUCCUGUCGCUGCUGCCAGGAGAGGAGCUGAAGGACAAAUACAGACGCUACCUCUUCAGAGACUACGUCGAGAGUCACUUCCAGUUGCAGUUGUGUCCGGGUGCAGACUGUCCCAUGGUGAUCAAGGUGCAGGAGCCACGGGCGCGCAGGGUGCAGUGCAGCCGCUGCAGCGAAGUCU
Molecule: long non-coding RNA, 363 nt
Organism: Notothenia coriiceps (black rockcod)
Lineage: Eukaryota; Metazoa; Chordata; Actinopteri; Perciformes; Nototheniidae
Exons: 3
Source: RefSeq, a predicted model, not a curated record